Molecule: long non-coding RNA, 1407 nt
Organism: Tribolium castaneum (red flour beetle)
Lineage: Eukaryota; Metazoa; Arthropoda; Insecta; Coleoptera; Tenebrionidae
Exons: 5
Source: RefSeq, a predicted model, not a curated record
UCAUGUUGAAAACUAUAUUUCUCGUUAAUGUCAAAGAAAUGACAAAGUUUUCUCAAGUUUUUCUUGCAAUAUUCACAUUUUAUUCUCUCGUUCACUGUGUACAGAUGUACUAUCUGUACAAAAACUUCGAUGUAAACCUUUUAAUUAAAUACGCCCCAGCAACAACAGCUACCCUAUUUGUAAGUAAUACAAAACUGUUGUCUUCAAGUGUCAUACCAAUAAUUAAUGACUUUUUUGAGCUGAAUAUCAUGCCAAUUUUUUCUGUGGUUUCGGAAACCAAACUUCUCAGAAUAACCACAUUUAUUGAUAAGACUUUUUGGCCUCUUGAUUCGAUAAGAAAAGAGGCUCGAAUAAAGCUCGAGCGAAAAUGUCGAGCCAUAAAUAUCAGUAUAUAUUGCAUUUUGCUGCUUCUUUCCGUUGCAGUGUUUAGCAAUUUUCCGUGUUUUGGAAGGCAGGAUGACUUUUUCCUUUGCAUAAAAAUUUUUAAGGAAUACUUUGGUCAAUGGUCAUCCAUUCCUAACUACAUUUACUUCACACUAUUUCCGAUUUUUUGUUACCCUUACUUUAGAAUCGCUUUCUCGUUUGUUUACGCUAUUUUAGAGACACAGUUACAAUUCUCCCUCAUUGAAGAAUAUUUGUUUGAAGUAUAUCAGAUGGUUGACUUGAAUUGGAAGUAUUUACAAGACCCUCGAUAUCAGCAAGAAAUCGGGAAGUCGUUGCAACUUUGUAUUGAACACCACACUGCUUUGAAAAAAUUGAUCCACUCGAUUGUGAAUAUUACGCUCACUGGAAUGCCGAUUUUUCUGCUUUUUGGAAUUGGUCUUUUCGUUAGUUGCUUCGUGUUUAUCAUAAAUUUUGGAGAUACCAUGACCAUGAUUUUAAAAUUAAAAACACCAUUACUUUUGUAUGUUGCAACUAUGCUUAGCAUGACUUUACUGAUGUGCUGGAAUGGCCAACAAGUGAUUGACGUGACAAGUAGAAUUUUUUAUACUUUAGUUCGAGCUCCGUUUUACUUUUGGAAUCUUUAUAAUAUGAAAGUUCUUCUGAUGUUUAUAACAAAUUGUACCAGAAACGAGAACAUUGUUUUGGCCGGAAUUUGUUUAGAUUACACAUUGUCUGUUUCUAUCUUACGAAUUUCCGUCUUUUAUACUCUGGGUUUGUUAGAACUUCGAAAUCAUAGUUUCGAUUGAAACAAUCAACUUCUCUUAUACUACAAGAAUUAUCUUAAUUUUUGUUUGUUAUAAUCUAUCAGUUUAUCUAUGAGUGAAAAGGUUUAAGAAUGAAGAAAUCAUUCGAGUAGGUAAACAAUACUUAGCGUCGUGUAUAUUUUUUUUUCUGUGGCCAGACAUCAAGUUUAAGAGAAAAAGAUAUUGUUAAUCUGUUAAUCCUACAAAUUUAUAUGUUGGA